AAAAAGUUAGCGGCUUCUCACUUUUCCCUGCAAAAAAGCCACUCACAUUUUCCUCAUCAAUGGCUGCUGCAAGCUUUUCAGAGACAUAGAGAGGUUAAAGUCGAAAACAAGCAAAACUCUAUCAAUGCCACUUUCAUCAUCAACCUCUCUGUUAUUCCCUCAAAAGAAAAAAAAAAAAAAAAAACUUUUAUUGUUUUUUACAAAUGGGUUUAUGAUAAUAACUCGUAAAUUCCAUUCUUUAUUCAUUUUUCCAAAUGGGGUUUCUACUUUUUAGGUAUUUGUUGGGAGUUUCAUGAUUUUAAGGAAUUUGCAAGCGGUUGUCAACAAAUUCAACAAACACAUUUAAUAUCAGCCUCUAAUAUCAGCAAGAGUUAUAAAU
RNAcentral lists this long non-coding RNA (379 nucleotides) under Lactuca sativa (garden lettuce). Its description in RNAcentral is "long non-coding RNA (LSAT_LNC009412)". The record is from RNAcentral. Lineage: Eukaryota; Viridiplantae; Streptophyta; Magnoliopsida; Asterales; Asteraceae.